Molecule: ribosomal RNA, 341 nt
Filed under: uncultured bacterium
Lineage: Bacteria
Description: bacterial SSU rRNA
Rfam family: Bacterial small subunit ribosomal RNA
Source: RNAcentral
GAGGAAGAUGGGGACGACGUCAAGUCAUCAUGCCCCUUACGUCUAGGGCUGCACACAUGCUACAAUGGGCGGUACAGAGGGCUGCUAAACCGCGAGGUGGAGCCAAUCCCUAAAACCGCUCUCAGUUCAGAUUGCAGGCUGCAACUCGCCUGCAUGAAGUUGGAGUUGCUAGUAAUCCCGGAUCAGCAUUGCCGGGGUGAAUACGUUCCCGGGCCUUGUACACACCGCCCGUCAAACCACGAAAGUCGGCAACACCCGAAGCCGGUGGCACUAACCGUAAGGAAGGAGCCGUCGAAGGUGGGGUCGGUGAUUGGGGUUAAGUCGUAACAAGGUAGCCGUAA